This 346-nucleotide long non-coding RNA is filed under the name Linum usitatissimum (flax). RNAcentral describes it as "long non-coding RNA (LUSI_LNC001256)". Lineage: Eukaryota; Viridiplantae; Streptophyta; Magnoliopsida; Malpighiales; Linaceae. The record is from RNAcentral.
UGGGAUUCUUGGCAGUGGGGUGGCUGAUCUAUCUAUGUUGGUGUCAAAGCUGUUGGUAAAAAUGAUAUGAAAAAUUAUGUAUAGUUGAAGAGACGCUGAAGCAUGUAUAAAGCUUUAAAUGUAAGACGCAUUCUAGGUUUACAAUUUGAGCCCUAACCUGUUGCUUUGCGAAACAACAGGUUCGCAGAAAUUGAAGCUGAGGCUACCUGGUCCUACCAAUUUGGAUUCGGAAUAAUUAGGCAUGCCAUUAGGAAUUUUAGUAUCUAUCUCAAAAGUAGGCCUUUCAGCAACGUUGGUGUUAAAUCGAGGUGAGCAGAGCUGUGAAACAGAAUCAGAUGGACUUGGA